CAUGAGUUGCAAAACUCCCCAACCCUUGCUGAACCUACCUACUGUUGCUUCGGCGGGGGAGGCCUCCGGGCCUCGCGCCACCCUCCUCGUGGGGGACGGCAGCCCCGCCGGAGGCAGUCCUAAACUCUUAGUCAUUACAUGGCCUCUCUGAGUAGCUAUACAAAUUAAGUCA
This 172-nucleotide unclassified non-coding RNA is filed under the name soil metagenome. RNAcentral's name for it is "partial internal transcribed spacer 1". The record is from RNAcentral.